Cajanus cajan (pigeon pea) is the source of this 632-nucleotide long non-coding RNA. RefSeq lists it as uncharacterized. The record is from RefSeq and is a predicted model, not a curated record. Lineage: Eukaryota; Viridiplantae; Streptophyta; Magnoliopsida; Fabales; Fabaceae.
UAGUUUUGGUCCCUCUCUACCUCAUUUCCCAUGCCAACUCCCAUUUCUGCUUUGUCCAUGACGUUUACCAAAGUUUCCCUAAUUCCAUGUCAGAAAUUGAUCGAAUCGACCAAUUACACAAGCCAAGUAGCCCAACAAUUUGCCUUACUUGUCACUGUUGUGGCUCAGUCCGAGAAGGACACGACAUCCAUAGGUGGUUCCACAUACACAUCCUUCAACAUCAUCUCUUGUUCCAAAAGGUCAUCUGGCAAUGCUCCCUACACCUGAACCUCCUUUACUCAAGCUUCCCAUUUCCAUUCGCAAAGGUCUACAAGUGAAGCUAUGACUGAUUCUAGGUUGAGACAGGCAAUGUUGGAUGAUAUGGAUGCUUUACAUACUAGUGACACAUGGGAGUUGGUGCCUUUGCCUCCUAACAAGUCUAUAGUUGGUUGUCAAUGGGUGUACACAGUGAAAGUUGUCCCAGAUGGCAAUAUUGAUCGCUUUAAAGCAUAGUUGGUUGACAAGGACACUCAGAUCUAUGGCCUUGAUUAUCGGGAUACUUUCUUAUAGCCAAGAUAACUUUUAUUCGUUCGUUUCUUGCUAUGGCUACCAUUCGCCAUUGGUCAUUGUCGUAACUCGAAAAUUUUCGAUCU